AAGUCGUAACAAGGUUUCCGUAGGUGAACCUGCGGAAGGAUCAUUAUUGAACAAACUUGGCGGGUUGUUGCUGGUCCUCUGAAAAAAGGAGGGCAUUGUGCACGCUUUGCCUAUGUUUCUUCUCUCUACCCACCUGUGCACAUCUGGUAGGCUCAGAUACCCUUCGAGGCAACUCGGUCAUGAAGCUCCGUCCCCUCUCUCCGGUGACUGCUUCUACAUUUCUGGGCCUACGUCUUUCUUCAUCCACGCUAUUUUGUAUGUCACCGAAUGUAUAUACCGGACUUUUAAAAGUCUAUAAACCUAUACAACUUUCAACAACGGAUCUCUUGGCUCUC
This 335-nucleotide unclassified non-coding RNA is filed under the name fungal sp. RNAcentral describes it as "partial internal transcribed spacer region". The stretch from base 1 to 46 matches the Rfam family "Eukaryotic small subunit ribosomal RNA", at positions 1786 to 1831 of the family's 1831-position model. Lineage: Eukaryota; Fungi. The record is from RNAcentral.